This is a non-coding RNA of Olsenella sp. HMSC062G07, 365 nucleotides long. The record is from Rfam. Lineage: Bacteria; Bacillati; Actinomycetota; Coriobacteriia; Coriobacteriales; Atopobiaceae.
GGGGGUGACUGGUUUCGACAGGGUAUGUCUGAGGUGGGCAGCAGGCCGUGGUCUCCUCGCCACGUUAAACAGGGGUACCGUCAAAUUGAAUUGACGACAACUCGUAUCAGGGCUCUUACGCCCUCGCCGCUUAAUUAGCUAGCGGCCGUCAACCCGGGGGAUGCUCCCGACCCCGGCGCGACGUCAUCUAAGGGAGACGCCCGUGCGGACGUCGUUGGUAUGCCGCACGUCAAGACCGAACCAACUGGGGCGCGGUGCGCGGGUCACGAGGCGCGCCUCGCCUAAGAUGCAACACGUGACUGAGCUUGGAGACACCUGCCAGGGAUGUGCUUUGGACCGGAGUUCGAUUCUCCGCACCUCCACCA